This 56-nucleotide transfer RNA is filed under the name Triticum aestivum (bread wheat). It matches the Rfam family "tRNA", at positions 10 to 63 of the family's 71-position model. Rfam says of the family: Transfer RNA (tRNA) molecules are approximately 80 nucleotides in length. Their secondary structure includes four short double-helical elements and three loops (D, anti-codon, and T loops). RNAcentral also lists the same sequence under 1 other name. Lineage: Eukaryota; Viridiplantae; Streptophyta; Magnoliopsida; Poales; Poaceae. The record is from Rfam by way of RNAcentral.
GCUCAAUUGGUAGAGUACAAGGCUCUUAACCUUGUGGUCGUGGGUUCGGGCCCCAU